GAGCUCAGGCAAGGCUACCCGCUGAACUUAAGCAUAUCAAUAAGCGGAGGAAAAGAAACUAACAAGGAUGCGCUUAGUAACGGCGAGCGAACCGCGCAAAGCCCAACUUGAAAAUCUCCCUUGGAGAAUUGUAGUCUAUAGAAGUACCCUCUGUAACGGGCGCAGCUCAGUCUCCUGGAAAGGGGCGUCAGAGAGGGUGAGAACCCCGUAGCUGUGCUUUGUACCUCACGAGUGCUUUCAAGAGUCGGUUGCUUGGGAUGCAGCCCAAUUGGUGGUAAUCCCAUCUAAGGCUAAAUAUUGGCGAAGACGUUCA
Molecule: ribosomal RNA, 313 nt
Filed under: Tetradesmus nygaardii
Lineage: Eukaryota; Viridiplantae; Chlorophyta; Chlorophyceae; Sphaeropleales; Scenedesmaceae
Description: eukaryotic LSU rRNA
Rfam family: Eukaryotic large subunit ribosomal RNA
Source: RNAcentral